AAUAUUUGACGCCAUUGACUUUUUAGCACAUGUUUAACCGUUCAUCUUAUUAAAAAAAUUUGAGUAAUUAUUAAUUCUUUUCUCAUUGUUAAAUACAUUUUUAUGUAGGUAUACAAUUUAUGUUUCACAAAAGUUUUUAAAUAAGAUGAACGGUUAAACAUGUGCUAAAAAGUUAACGGUGUCAAAUAUU
This 190-nucleotide microRNA precursor is filed under the name Oryza meridionalis. Its description in RNAcentral is "MIR812 microRNA precursor family". It matches the Rfam family "MIR812 microRNA precursor family". Lineage: Eukaryota; Viridiplantae; Streptophyta; Magnoliopsida; Poales; Poaceae. The record is from Rfam by way of RNAcentral.